RNAcentral lists this unclassified non-coding RNA (150 nucleotides) under fungal sp. RNAcentral's name for it is "partial internal transcribed spacer region". The stretch from base 1 to 46 matches the Rfam family "Eukaryotic small subunit ribosomal RNA", at positions 1786 to 1831 of the family's 1831-position model. Lineage: Eukaryota; Fungi. The record is from RNAcentral.
AAGUCGUAACAAGGUUUCCGUAGGUGAACCUGCGGAAGGAUCAAUACGAAGAGGAGAGAGAGGGGAGGAUUUGUUGAAAUACUAGAAGAACAUAUGACAUUUUACACACACAACAACACACAACUCAUAACAAUGGAUCUCUGGGCUCUU